UAAUAUAGUUUUAUUUAAAAACAAUCUGUUGUUAAAUCCAGACUUAAGUCUUAUAAUCUUAAUUAUGGGGGCAUCAAAGUUUGAUUUCAAUCUUUAACAUGACCUUACUCAGUCAAUAUUAAAGAUAUCAAGGUUAUAUUUCACAGAAUGUUCUUUACAUUUUGUAGGAUGAAUUUUAUGUAGAAAACAGUAAAAAAUGACUUCAGCUGGGUUUUCACAGACGUAUGUUAGGGUCACUUAUGUUAGAAUUAAGUACACUUAAAAAUGAGUAUGUAUAAUGCAGUAAUAUAUCCUUCUACUAAAAUGUGAGUUUUUUGUGUGAUUGUUGCAGGCAAAAAUCCUUGAUCUUUGCGGCACGUUUUCUUAAAAAAUGUGAUGUAUUACGCAGGAUAUUUAUGCAGUAUUACGUGCUGAAAUUGCGGGAACUUGCAAAAGCUGUUUGAAACUUUUAUUAUGAAAUCAUGCAAGCCCCGCAUAUGUUGCGCACGGAAAUCUGCAAUUUAUGCUGCGAAAGUGCGGCGUAUUUGGAAAAAAUGCGGCCCCCGCAUAAAUAUGCGUACUUUGGAUGAUUCAAAUCGCAUUUUUCUGGAGGGACUGAUUCAUAAAACAUGAGUUGCAUUCAAGAGUUUAUGUAAUUUUACAGGUACACUCUCAGAAUAAAAGAUACAUGAUGUUCCCAACCUUUUUUAAUUCAAGGCCCCCUAGUUGACCACAACAAUAUUUAAAAGCCCACUCAUUCAAUUUUUUCCACAUAAAAUUAACUAGAACUUGGAAUGACUAGACAGAUGUAUAUUUGCUACUAAAAUGGCCAAAAAUAAGAAACAUCUUGAUUUUAGCUUGUUUUAGAUUACUGUUGUACAUUACUGUUUGUUUUGUCCAAUUUUUAAUAAUUUUUCAGUUAUCUUGAGGCCCCCUUGGAAAUCUGCUGAGGCCCCCUUGUGGGCCCUCGACCCCCUGGUUGGGAAACACUGCCUUAUGCUGGGUACACACCAAAAGAUAAUCCGGCUGAUUUUGAGCUGAUUUCCCCCUUUCCGACAAUCCUAGCUAUGUCCCGAUUAUCUUUAUGGUUCUACAGAUUAUCUUGUUUAGAGUGUCCGAACCUGAUCGGAAAAACGUCGGAGCCGCCCGAUCGCGAAUCAGAAUAAAAAAACCUGAUGUGUGGGGGGAACACCGAGGACAAACGCGCGCAUGCUCUUGAGAUUAUCACAUGAAACGAAACAAUAUCCCAUCAGAAAGCGAGGCGAUGGAAGACGGAAGCAGUCAUGGCGCAGCACAAAUUGAAGUUGAACUUGUACAGACCAUGUUCCCACAAUGACUUCACCCAAACCCUUUUCUUUUUAUUCCUUGAAUUUUCUGUGAAAAUCAUUCCAAACACUAUCAUCAAAUUUUCUUCCUGCAUAUCGUCCGCCAUGCUUAUUCUGAAGUCUCGCACGAUUUUGUGAGAUUUCCUGUGUUCACCGUCGAGACUCUGCUUGAAAAUCUGUUCCAUGUGUAGUGUGCUGUAUUUGACACAUCAUGGCACACCACACACUAUAGGAGCAAACUGGUUAAAUCUUUGUGGUCUAUCACAUUUUGAAAAUCUUGUAAAAGAUGUAAAAAAUUAUUUUGGUGUGUACCCGGCAUAAGAGGUACAUACUGGUACCUCAAAGAUACAUAUCUGUACCAUAAUGCAACAUAUUAGGACCUUUUUAAAGGGACACAGUAACAGAAAGGUACCUUUUAUUUCUGAAGAGAGUGUAGGGGCAUAGCGCUAGCAACAUAGAUAUCAUAUAGAAGACUAGAUGCCCUAUUGGCCGCUGGGGACUGAGAAAUACGGCGGCCAUCUUAAACCGGUCGUUCUCCUAGUUUCGUUGCAUGGCAGCAGAUAAGAUGUCAGAGCACUGUGGAGCAUUUUCCUGUUCUAAUCGGCGGACGAUCGCAAAUAGAGCCCGGAGGAUUAUUUUCACAAGUACUUUUUAACAUCGCGGUACUAUUGGUUGUAUUUUGUGAAUAGAAUAUUACCAGAAAAUUGAGAAAGAGCCAGCUUAUUGAUUUUACUGUACUGAAAUCGUAGCCAGCUAACGUUCGCUAUGUUUACUGCACCAGCCGCUGUUCACCCUGCAAGGAGAGUGGGGUGCUGUGAGCUGCGUGAUCCGCCGAGCUUUAAAAAGCUGAGAUGUCAACAGGAACAGAGGAUGUUUUCCUUCGUAGGGAGGACAUUGAGGAGACUCGGUUUGGAAUCGACAACUAUCAGUCUGACUCGUUGUCACUGGUUGUGUCUGUGUUUUUGGCUCCACCAUGUUGCCAAACUCACCUCUCUUGAACUACAGAAAGGGAGCACGGGAAAGAAGCUCUGGACAGGGGUGUGUGUGUGUGUGUGUGCGUGCGUGCGUGCGUGCGCGCGCGUGUGAGUGUGUGGGGGGGUUUACAAAUCAUUUUAAAUUGUUUCUUCACCAUAUUAAAAAGUCUUAUUUUAUUGCAACUAUCUGUUUCUGCAUCUUUGUCAUAUUUAUAGUGUGUGAUUUAUAAAAUAUCUUAUGUCCUACACCA
Long non-coding RNA from Paramisgurnus dabryanus, 2529 nucleotides. RefSeq lists it as uncharacterized. The record is from RefSeq and is a predicted model, not a curated record. Lineage: Eukaryota; Metazoa; Chordata; Actinopteri; Cypriniformes; Cobitidae.